Corythoichthys intestinalis (scribbled pipefish) is the source of this 279-nucleotide long non-coding RNA. RefSeq lists it as uncharacterized. The record is from RefSeq and is a predicted model, not a curated record. The transcript is spliced from 3 exons. NCBI's taxonomy places the organism in Eukaryota, Metazoa, Chordata, Actinopteri, Syngnathiformes, Syngnathidae.
GUCUGUCCCAGUGUCUAUUGCAGUGUCUAAGCCCUUCGUAUUCCUGUGCUCUCGUACUGCUUGGUUUCUGAUUUUCAAAUGUUUAUCUGUGGAUUUUGCAUGUUCUUCCCGUGUCUGCGUGGGUUUUCUCCCGGUGUCCUUGUCUCCUCCCACUUCCCAAAAGCAAUCAUGCAUCUAAAAUAUCCUGCUUGAAGAAUAAUCAGCAGCAGGUGCUAAGCAGAUCCAACCUGCUUACACACUACAAGGAACUUCAAGACAAAAGAAAAAAUACACAUCUAC